RNAcentral lists this ribosomal RNA (430 nucleotides) under Pseudomonadota bacterium. Its description in RNAcentral is "Proteobacteria bacterium partial 16S ribosomal RNA". It matches the Rfam family "Bacterial small subunit ribosomal RNA", at positions 355 to 776 of the family's 1533-position model. The record is from RNAcentral. Lineage: Bacteria; Pseudomonadati; Pseudomonadota.
UGGGGAAUAUUGGACAAUGGGCGAAAGCCUGAUCCAGCCAUGCCGCGUGUGUGAAGAAGGUCUUCGGAUUGUAAAGCACUUUAAGCGAGGAGGAGGGUACUGGUAUUAAUACUACCAGCUACUGGACGUUGCUCGCAGAAUAAGCACCGGCUAACUCUGUGCCAGCAGCCGCGGUAAUACAGAGGGUGCGAGCGUUAAUCGGAUUUACUGGGCGUAAAGCGCGCGUAGGUGGUUCGUUAAGUUGAAUGUGAAAGCCCCGGGCUCAACCUGGGAACUGCAUCCAAAACUGGCGAGCUAGAGUAGGGCAGAGGGUGGUGGAAUUUCCUGUGUAGCGGUGAAAUGCGUAGAUAUAGGAAGGAACACCAGUGGCGAAGGCGACCACCUGGGCUCAUACUGACACUGAGGUGCGAAAGCGUGGGGAGCAAACAGG